Paramormyrops kingsleyae is the source of this 719-nucleotide long non-coding RNA. RefSeq lists it as uncharacterized. The record is from RefSeq and is a predicted model, not a curated record. Lineage: Eukaryota; Metazoa; Chordata; Actinopteri; Osteoglossiformes; Mormyridae.
GAACUUCCUCAUUUCCGUUCCGCAGGAACCAUUUCGAAGCUCCUCCCACUGAGCCGUCAAAAGAGGGCGGGGACGAGCACGUCGGAAGUUGUCUCCGGCUCGCGUUUCCGUGAACUGGUUUAUAACCCACAUGGUUCUCGUCCCCGAGGACCGAUGGAACAGGUUUUGGCAUCGGAUCUCCGCUGUGACUCUUAGAUGCCUGCUGGCCGCUGGCUCUGCCACGCUGGCGAAAAAGCAGAGGCUGCGGCCUGGUGGUGUGAAGAAUCGUCGCAGAAUUACCUUCUGAAAUCUGCGAAAGUGAAUGCCUUUUUAAAAUUUACGUAAGUUCCCUAAAUGUCAUGUGCUUUUCUUAUUAAACGCCUAAAAAAAGAAUGGAGCCUUUACAUUCGUAAGCCUACUCAAAGGUGUGAUUUAACACUUUCUGUUAUCUGCUAUAAAGAGUGUAAUUUAUUCUGCAUUAUGGAAGGGAAAAGUUCUCUUGUAGAUCUCUUAUCUACAGCUGGUUAAAUUGCUGUAUUUCUUGUUGUCAUGCUGACAGGUUGUCAUGCAGACUUUCAUCUUAUUUGCUUCAGUAAAACAAAUUGCAUGUAUAUCUCAAGACUAGUUUUUGUGUUUAGAGAAGAUGUAACUUUUUAGUAGUAAUGGAAGAAAUGGGGCUUGAAAAAUGACUGUGGGUGGAAUGAUCAUGUGUUUCAAUAACUUGCUGGUUUUAUUCUUUU